This 249-nucleotide ribosomal RNA is filed under the name uncultured Actinomycetales bacterium. RNAcentral describes it as "partial 16S ribosomal RNA". It matches the Rfam family "Bacterial small subunit ribosomal RNA", at positions 82 to 334 of the family's 1533-position model. Lineage: Bacteria; Bacillati; Actinomycetota; Actinomycetes; Actinomycetales. The record is from RNAcentral.
CUUGGGUACUCGAGUGGCGAACGGGUGAGUAACACGUGGGUGAUCUGCCCUGCACUUCGGGAUAAGCUUGGGAAACUGGGUCUAAUACCGGAUAGGAACCGUCUUUAGUGUGGUGGCUGGAAAGUUUUUUCGGUGCAAGAUGAGCUCGCGGCCUAUCAGCUCGUUGGUGGGGUAAUGGCCUACCAAGGCGUCGACGGGUAGCCGGCCUGAGAGGGUGUACGGCCACAUUGGGACUGAGAUACGGCCCAG